AUAGCGUAUAUUAAAGUUGUUGCAGUUAAAACGUCCGUAGUCAAAUUUUAGUCCUUAGGCGAGAUGGCCUGGUCUUCAUUGAUCAAGCUCGUUUCCGCCGGGACUUUUUUUUUGGUUAUGCUAUGAGUGUCUUCGGAUGUUUGUAGUCUCUAGCCAAAUAAUUACCAUGAGCAAAUCAGAGUGUUUAAAGCAGGCUUUCAAGCUUGAAUGUGUUAGCAUGGAAUAAUGAAAUAUGACUUUAGUCCCUAUUUCGUUGGUUCAGGAACUUAAGUAAUGAUGAAUAGAAACGGUUGGGGGCAUUUGUAUUUGGUCGCUAGAGGUGAAAUUCUUGGAUUGAC
RNAcentral lists this ribosomal RNA (338 nucleotides) under uncultured eukaryote. RNAcentral's name for it is "SSU rRNA". It matches the Rfam family "Eukaryotic small subunit ribosomal RNA", at positions 594 to 929 of the family's 1831-position model. The record is from RNAcentral.